GGUUCGAUGGUGUAGUUGGUUUAUCACUUCUGUCUAACAGCCUUGCCAAAGCGGCGUUCCACAGGCGGUCCUCAGUUCGAGCCUGGGUCGAAUCA
Molecule: non-coding RNA, 95 nt
Organism: Mycena vulgaris
Lineage: Eukaryota; Fungi; Basidiomycota; Agaricomycetes; Agaricales; Mycenaceae
Source: the annotation of a GenBank genome assembly